GAUGAACGCUGGCGGCGUGCCUAACACAUGCAAGUCGAACGGAGCUGCUUUGAUGAGAUCUUCGGAUGGAUUUAAAACAGCUUAGUGGCGGACGGGUGAGUAACGCGUGGGGUAACCUGCCUCACACUGGGGGAUAACAGUUAGAAAUAGCUGCUAAUACCGCAUAAGCGCACGGUUCCGCAUAGGAACAGUGUGAAAAACUCCGGUGGUACUAAGAUGGACCCGCGUCUGAUUAGGCUAGUUGGUGAGGUAACGGCCCACCAAGGCGACGAUCAGUAGCCGGGCCUGGACGAGGGUGAACGGGCCACAUUGGGACUGAGACACGGGCCCAAACUCCUACGGGAGGCAAGCAGUGGGGAAUAUUGGGACCACAAUGGGGGAAACCCUGAUGCAGCGACGCCGCGUGAGUGAUGAAGUAUUUCGGUAUGU
Molecule: ribosomal RNA, 429 nt
Filed under: uncultured bacterium
Lineage: Bacteria
Description: bacterial SSU rRNA
Rfam family: Bacterial small subunit ribosomal RNA
Source: RNAcentral